UUCAGAGAAACCAACAACCACCUCUGCUCCUUCAACCACCUCUGAUCCUCCUCCUCCUCCUCCUCCUCCUCUCUAUAUCUGGUUACCUGCUGUGUGUGUUGGUGUUCUGGUUCUGCUGGUUCUGGUUCUUCUGGUUGGACGACGUGUUCUCAGGAAGUCUGAAGGUGAGGUUCAGUUUUAAACGUCAGAGCAAAAACUGAUAAAGACAGAGAAAUGUAAAUAUUUCAUGUUUUUUCAAUCAGCUGAUGGACCACCAGAUGUUACAUACGCUGACAUCAACAUCAAGCUCCACCCCCAGCAGCCAAUCAGACGCAGUACAGAUGGAGAUCCAGCUCCAGGUUCUACUGGAGACCAGACGUUUGGACAGAAGACCAUCAGAGAACGAUCCGACAGGAAACACCUGACAGGUACACUUCCUGUUCAGAUGGUUGUCUGUGGUUGCUAUGGUUACAGUGUUCCUGUAGAUUUCCUCCAAUCAGGAUCUGAGAGGUUUUCUGCUAAACUUCACGACUCAGUUUGAUGGACAAGA
RNAcentral lists this long non-coding RNA (529 nucleotides) under Oryzias javanicus (javanese ricefish). RNAcentral describes it as "lncRNA (ENSOJAG00000016861.1)". Lineage: Eukaryota; Metazoa; Chordata; Actinopteri; Beloniformes; Adrianichthyidae. The record is from RNAcentral.